This 383-nucleotide ribosomal RNA is filed under the name uncultured eukaryote. RNAcentral describes it as "partial 18S ribosomal RNA". It matches the Rfam family "Eukaryotic small subunit ribosomal RNA", at positions 592 to 976 of the family's 1831-position model. The record is from RNAcentral.
CAAUAGCGUAUAUUAAAGUUGUUGCAGUUAAAAAGCUCGUAGUUGGAUUUCUGGUAGGAGCGACCGUGCCGAACUUGAUUGUUCGAGUAUUGUGUUGUCUUCAGCCAUCCUCGUGGAGAACUUUUCUAACAUUAACUUGUUGGAAUUGGGACCCGCGUCGUUUACUGUGAAAAAAUUAGAGUGUUUAAAGCAGGCAUUAGCUUGAAUACAUUAGCAUGGAAUAAUAAGAUAGGACUUUGGUACUAUUUUGUUGGUUUGCAUACCAAAUUAAUGAUCAACAGGAACAGUUUGAGGAUAUUCGUAUGAACAUGUCAGAGGUGAAAUUCUUGGAUUUUGAUCAGACGAACUACUGCGAAAGCAUUUAUCAAGGAUGUUUUCAUUAA